UAAUGAAAAAGGCUAACUUAUUGAAAAAUAAGGGCGCAAAACUUCAGGUCUAAGGUGAAGAUUCGAAUUUUACUAUGAUGGCUGAGUUACCGAA
RNAcentral lists this non-coding RNA (94 nucleotides) under Halalkalibacter akibai. RNAcentral's name for it is "Bacillus akibai c-di-GMP sequence". It matches the Rfam family "c-di-GMP-I riboswitch aptamer". From Rfam's summary of the family: GEMM was predicted in a large-scale screen for bacterial structured RNA regulatory elements. Genes associated with GEMM are involved in a diverse array of functions, including chemotaxis regulation, signal transduction, secretion and chitin. Lineage: Bacteria; Bacillati; Bacillota; Bacilli; Caryophanales; Bacillaceae. The record is from RNAcentral. RNAcentral also lists the same sequence under 1 other name.